Molecule: ribosomal RNA, 1742 nt
Filed under: Escherichia coli
Lineage: Bacteria; Pseudomonadati; Pseudomonadota; Gammaproteobacteria; Enterobacterales; Enterobacteriaceae
Description: partial 23S ribosomal RNA
Rfam family: Bacterial large subunit ribosomal RNA
Source: RNAcentral
AUAAUGGGUCAGCGACUUAUAUUCUGUAGCAAGGUUAACCGAAUAGGGGAGCCGAAGGGAAACCGAGUCUUAACUGGGCGUUAAGUUGCAGGGUAUAGACCCGAAACCCGGUGAUCUAGCCAUGGGCAGGUUGAAGGUUGGGUAACACUAACUGGAGGACCGAACCGACUAAUGUUGAAAAAUUAGCGGAUGACUUGUGGCUGGGGGUGAAAGGCCAAUCAAACCGGGAGAUAGCUGGUUCUCCCCGAAAGCUAUUUAGGUAGCGCCUCGUGAAUUCAUCUCCGGGGGUAGAGCACUGUUUCGGCAAGGGGGUCAUCCCGACUUACCAACCCGAUGCAAACUGCGAAUACCGGAGAAUGUUAUCACGGGAGACACACGGCGGGUGCUAACGUCCGUCGUGAAGAGGGAAACAACCCAGACCGCCAGCUAAGGUCCCAAAGUCAUGGUUAAGUGGGAAACGAUGUGGGAAGGCCCAGACAGCCAGGAUGUUGGCUUAGAAGCAGCCAUCAUUUAAAGAAAGCGUAAUAGCUCACUGGUCGAGUCGGCCUGCGCGGAAGAUGUAACGGGGCUAAACCAUGCACCGAAGCUGCGGCAGCGACGCUUAUGCGUUGUUGGGUAGGGGAGCGUUCUGUAAGCCUGCGAAGGUGUGCUGUGAGGCAUGCUGGAGGUAUCAGAAGUGCGAAUGCUGACAUAAGUAACGAUAAAGCGGGUGAAAAGCCCGCUCGCCGGAAGACCAAGGGUUCCUGUCCAACGUUAAUCGGGGCAGGGUGAGUCGACCCCUAAGGCGAGGCCGAAAGGCGUAGUCGAUGGGAAACAGGUUAAUAUUCCUGUACUUGGUGUUACUGCGAAGGGGGGACGGAGAAGGCUAUGUUGGCCGGGCGACGGUUGUCCCGGUUUAAGCGUGUAGGCUGGUUUUCCAGGCAAAUCCGGAAAAUCAAGGCUGAGGCGUGAUGACGAGGCACUACGGUGCUGAAGCAACAAAUGCCCUGCUUCCAGGAAAAGCCUCUAAGCAUCAGGUAACAUCAAAUCGUACCCCAAACCGACACAGGUGGUCAGGUAGAGAAUACCAAGGCGCUUGAGAGAACUCGGGUGAAGGAACUAGGCAAAAUGGUGCCGUAACUUCGGGAGAAGGCACGCUGAUAUGUAGGUGAAGUCCCUCGCGGAUGGAGCUGAAAUCAGUCGAAGAUACCAGCUGGCUGCAACUGUUUAUUAAAAACACAGCACUGUGCAAACACGAAAGUGGACGUAUACGGUGUGACGCCUGCCCGGUGCCGGAAGGUUAAUUGAUGGGGUUAGCGCAAGCGAAGCUCUUGAUCGAAGCCCCGGUAAACGGCGGCCGUAACUAUAACGGUCCUAAGGUAGCGAAAUUCCUUGUCGGGUAAGUUCCGACCUGCACGAAUGGCGUAAUGAUGGCCAGGCUGUCUCCACCCGAGACUCAGUGAAAUUGAACUCGCUGUGAAGAUGCAGUGUACCCGCGGCAAGACGGAAAGACCCCGUGAACCUUUACUAUAGCUUGACACUGAACAUUGAGCCUUGAUGUGUAGGAUAGGUGGGAGGCUUUGAAGUGUGGACGCCAGUCUGCAUGGAGCCGACCUUGAAAUACCACCCUUUAAUGUUUGAUGUUCUAACGUUGACCCGUGAUCCGGGUUGCGGACAGUGUCUGGUGGGUAGUUUGACUGGGGCGGUCUCCUCCUAAAGAGUAACGGAGGAGCACGAAGGUUGGCUAAUCCUGGUCGGACAUC